This 253-nucleotide ribosomal RNA is filed under the name uncultured bacterium. RNAcentral's name for it is "partial 16S ribosomal RNA". It matches the Rfam family "Bacterial small subunit ribosomal RNA", at positions 524 to 776 of the family's 1533-position model. The record is from RNAcentral.
UACGUAGGGUGCAAGCGUUAAUCGGAAUUACUGGGCGUAAAGCGUGCGUAGGCGGUUUUGUAAGUCUGUCGUGAAAUCCCCGGGCUCAACCUGGGAAUGGCGAUGGAGACUGCAAGGCUAGAAUCUGGCAGAGGGGGGUAGAAUUCCACGUGUAGCAGUGAAAUGCGUAGAGAUGUGGAGGGACACCGAUGGCGAAGGCAGCCCCCUGGGUCAAGAUUGACGCUCAUGCACGAAAGCGUGGGGAGCAAACAGG